RNAcentral lists this ribosomal RNA (429 nucleotides) under Bacteroidota bacterium. RNAcentral's name for it is "Bacteroidetes bacterium partial 16S ribosomal RNA". It matches the Rfam family "Bacterial small subunit ribosomal RNA", at positions 355 to 776 of the family's 1533-position model. Lineage: Bacteria; Pseudomonadati; Bacteroidota. The record is from RNAcentral.
UAGGGAAUCUUCCGCAAUGGACGCAAGUCUGACGGAGCAACGCCGCGUGAGUGAAGAAGGAUUUCGGUUCGUAAAACUCUGUUGUUAGAGAAGAACAGCGCAUAGAGUAACUGUUAUGCGUGUGACGGUAUCUAACCAGAAAGCCACGGCUAACUACGUGCCAGCAGCCGCGGUAAUACGUAGGUGGCAAGCGUUGUCCGGAUUUAUUGGGCGUAAAGCGAGCGCAGGCGGUCAAUUAAGUCGGAUGUGAAAGCCCCCGGCUCAACCGGGGAGGGUCAUUGGAAACUGGUUGACUUGAGUGCAGAAGAGGAGAGUGGAAUUCCAUGUGUAGCGGUGAAAUGCGUAGAUAUAUGGAGGAACACCAGUGGCGAAGGCGACUCUCUGGUCUGUAACUGACGCUGAGGCUCGAAAGCGUGGGUAGCAAACAGG